This 322-nucleotide ribosomal RNA is filed under the name uncultured eukaryote. Its description in RNAcentral is "partial 18S ribosomal RNA". It matches the Rfam family "Eukaryotic small subunit ribosomal RNA", at positions 1470 to 1796 of the family's 1831-position model. The record is from RNAcentral.
CCCUUAGAUGUUCUGGGCCGCACGCGUGCUACACUGAGUGGAUCAGCGGGUCUGGUUGCGCGAAAGCGUUUCCUAAUCUUUAAAUCCGCUCGUGAUGGGGAUUGACGGUUGCAAUUUUCUGUCAUGAACGAGGAAUACCUUGUAAGCGCGGGUCAUCAUCCCGCGCUGAAUACGUCCCUGCCCUUUGUACACACCGCCCGUCGCUCCUACCGAUUGAGUGGUCCGGUGAGGCUUUGGGAUCUGAGCGGAAAGAGCGUUUCGCUGUUUCUGCUCGGAAAACUCAGUCGAACCUUAUCAUUUAGAGGAAGGAGAAGUCGUAACA